This 1145-nucleotide ribosomal RNA is filed under the name uncultured bacterium. RNAcentral describes it as "bacterial SSU rRNA". It matches the Rfam family "Bacterial small subunit ribosomal RNA", at positions 8 to 1225 of the family's 1533-position model. The record is from RNAcentral.
AAAGUUUGAUCCUGGCUCAMRGRKAMAYACUGGCGGCGUGCAUGAGACAUGCAAGUCGAACGAACGAGCUUGCUCGUUAGUGGCGAACGGCUGAGUAACGCGUAGGUGACCUGCCCCGAAGUGGGGGAUAACUGCCCGAAAGGGUGGCUAAUACCGCAUGUGGCGACGCUUUCAUUGGCGUCAUCAAAGCCGCGAGGCGCUUCGGGAGGGGCCUGCGUCCGAUUAGCUCGUUGGUGGGGUAAUGGCUCACCAAGGCGACGAUCGGUAGGUGGUCUGAGAGGACGAUCACCCAGACUGGGACUGAGACACGGCCCAGACUCCUACGGGAGGCAGCAGUCGGGAAUUUUGCUCAAUGGGCGAAAGCCUGAAGCAGCAACGCCGCGUGAGGGAUGAAGGCCUUCGGGUUGUAAACCUCUUUUUCCAGGGACGAUAAUGACGGUACCUGAAGAAUAAGUCACGGCUAACUACGUGCCAGCAGCCGCGGUAAUACGUAGGUGACUAGCGUUGUCCGGAUUUACUGGGCGUAAAGAGCGCGCAGGCGGUCGUUCAAGUCGAGUGUGAAAGCCCCCGGCUCAACUGGGGAGGGUCACUCGAUACUGAUCGACUGGAAGGCAGGAGAGGGAAGCGGAAUUCCCGGUGUGGUGGUGAAAUGCGUAGAUAUCGGGAGGAACACCAGUGGCGAAGGCGGCUUCCUGGCCUGUUCUUGACGCUGAGGCGCGAAAGCUAGGGGAGCAAACGGGAUUAGAUACCCCGGUAGUCCUAGCCGUAAACGAUGGACACUAGGUGUUGGUGGUAUCAACCCCACCAGUGCCGAAGCUAACGCAUUAAGUGUCCCGCCUGGGGAGUACGGCCGCAAGGCUAAAACUCAAAGGAAUUGACGGGGCCCCGCACAGCAGCGGAGCGUGGGGUUUAAUUCGAUGCAACGCGAGAUCUUACCAGGCUGACAUGACCAGGAUCCGGCGAAACGUCGCSCYCGCAGGGCCUGACACAGUGAUGCAUGCUGUCGUCGCUCGKGUCUGGAAAUGCUGGGUCAGUCCCGCCACGAGCGCAACCCUAUCUGGUUGUUCACUCMMCSRACUGCCGAGACUCGGAGGAGGCGGAUGACGUCAGUCRCAUGCCCUUACGCUCCUKGGCUUACCCCAASU